CGGAGCUCCCUCGGGUGUAAUUCCCCAGCUGCUGACCUCUGAGUUAUUCUCAGUCCCCUGUCCCUCACAUCCAAAUAGGCUGGAGUUUAAUAACACCUCCGCCGUCACUCCCAAACACUGAUAGAGCGUUUUGCUCCUAAUAAGUUUAAAGUAUUAGAUGAAUUCACUGAUUACUUCAUCCUCGUGAGCGGUGAGGCUGGAACUAAGACCGUCACGUUUACAAACGUGCUUCGGAAUUGCUCCCAAGGUCAAGGAGCUGUUUGUGAGCGAGCUGUCACCAGAUUGUGCCCACCGGGGUCCCACACUUAGGGAAAAGCCCAAACCUGGAAAGUCCGCCGAACUCUGGCUGGUUUCCCACCCCUCAGCCAAACUGCAGGAUUUGGCAUCAUCCUGGACUCUUGAAAUGUUUAAUAGAAACGCAAACGCAAAUGAGACCGACCGGUCAGGCCAUGCGGAAACUGUCACCUUUAGCAAGUAGAAGUACAAGGAAGUUCCUGAAGAAGAUUGAAUUUAAAUUCAGCACCCCACCCCCGCACCGGGGGCAGGGGUGGGGUCCAUGGGUCACUCACACCUUCCUCUGUUUCCCACUUCACCUAAAAAAAACCGAGCCACAAGAUUAACUAUUGGGAGAGAAAUACCGCGAUGGUGUCAGAAAAAUCACCAAAAUCUCCUUCGCCGGAACAGAACUUCAACUUUGGUCUAUUGCGGUCACACGUGCAUCCCCAGGGCCUGGAAACAAGCCUGACACACAGCAGUCUGGGGAUAUGUCACAUGACAACUGAAGCUUGUGAGUUAGCUGAGAGCAUCUCCCCACGUUCCUCCGGGAACCCUAAGGAGCAAAGUGUCACGUGAACAGUGGUCCUUCCUCGCUGCGCCCGGCCUCCUGAGUCAGCUCAGUUCCUGAGCCUCCUUUUCUGAUUUCAGCUCCACCCUCUUCCCCUCUCCGUGGCGCCUGAACUUCCAUGCCUGCCUCAGUGUAUUACCGUAUUUGGUUCUGGGGCCCACAAAGAAGUCUGGAAAAGGAUCCAGGCCAGAAUAAAAGUAUUGCUUG
Molecule: non-coding RNA, 1051 nt
Organism: Delphinapterus leucas (beluga whale)
Lineage: Eukaryota; Metazoa; Chordata; Mammalia; Artiodactyla; Monodontidae
Source: RefSeq, a predicted model, not a curated record